AGCCCUUGACAUCCCGGUCGCGGGAUCGAGAGAUCGAUCCUUUCAGUUCGGCUGGACCGGUGACAGGUGCUGCAUGGCUGUCGUCAGCUCGUGUCGUGAGAUGUUGGGUUAAGUCCCGCAACGAGCGCAACCCUCGCCCUUAGUUGCCAUCAUUAAGUUGGGCACUCUAAGGGGACUGCCGGUGAUAAGCCGAGAGGAAGGUGGGGAUGACGUCAAGUCCUCAUGGCCCUUACGGG
This 236-nucleotide ribosomal RNA is filed under the name uncultured bacterium. Its description in RNAcentral is "partial 16S ribosomal RNA". It matches the Rfam family "Bacterial small subunit ribosomal RNA", at positions 977 to 1208 of the family's 1533-position model. The record is from RNAcentral.